This 1479-nucleotide long non-coding RNA is filed under the name Marmota monax (woodchuck). Lineage: Eukaryota; Metazoa; Chordata; Mammalia; Rodentia; Sciuridae. The record is from RNAcentral.
UAGAUGGCUUCUGGUAGGGAGGAGUUCCCUCUUAAGGAAGUUGAGAGAGGCUUUCUUGGUUCAAGAGAUCCUCUGGGUCUUUUUGGCUUCUACUGAAAAUGCCUGGGCCCUACCUUCUCACCACGUGGAUUUCCACCAAAUAUGGCUAAUCCUACUUAGACUUUUGGAAUCUCAUGUGAGCAUCCAGCAUUUUGCCAUUAAUUCUGUAUUUAAGGUGCUGACACUUUGAGAACUUGGACUCCAGGCCUUGCUUGAUUCAUGAACCUUUUAGUACACUUUUUCUAGCUUGGGCAAUAGGAGAUUUUCAAUCUCUUAUAUGCCACCCAAGACCUGGGGAAUCAGUGACACUACGUCAGCCACUUGCUAUUUGCCAAAUUCUUCCAUAUUAUGAUUUCUAAUCUACUUUAGCUUUCCUCAUCCCAUGCCACAGUAGUGCAGGAGGCCUGGUGAGGUUGUCUCCUCCCAGGCUGGCCCCAGCCCCUAUUGCCCUGUCUCAUUGUAAAAUAGCACACUCAUUGAUGAGUGGUGAUUGUCAUGGAAAGGACGGAGGUGCUUGCUCUCAUGCCCUAUAUGCACCAUUAUAAUUUCUGCACUCCCAAGACAGUAGCUCAUCUUCAGUGACAUGAUUUCCCAAGUGAGGUUGGCAUGUGUGUGCGUGUGCAUGUGUGUGACUGACUGCAUGUGUAAAUGCAUCAUGCCUUAGAGCAGAGGUUCUUGAACAUUAGCAUGAAGAUGAUGACCUGGAGGACUUGUCAAAACAGACUGCUGCUGAAGCUGGGGUUGUGGGUCAGCAGUAGAGUGCUCACCUAGUACACUGGGUUGAUCCUCAGCACCACAUAAAAAUGAAAUAAAGAUAUUGUGUCCACCUACAACUAAAAAUUAAUAUUUUUUAAAAAAACAGACUGCUGGUCCCACUCCCAGUUUUUGAUUCUGUAGAUCUAGAGUGGAACCUAAGAAUUUGUAUUUUUAUUUUAUUUUUAUAUCUAUUUUUAAUUCUUUAAAAUUCUUUUUAGAUAUACAUGACAGUAGAGUGUAUUUUGACAUAUUAUAUGUACAUGGGGUAAAACUUCUCAUUCUUAUGGUUGUGCAUGAUGUGGAGUUACAGUGGUCAUGUAUUCAUAUAUGAACAUAGGAAAGUUAAAAUCAGCAUACUGCAGUGACAUAGCUGCAUCAAUGUUUAUAGAAGUUCAAUUCACAAUAGCCAAACUGUGGAACCAACCUGGAUGCCCUUCAAAAGAUGAAUGAAGAAAAGGCGGUAUAUAUACACAAUGGAAUUUACUCAACCAUAAAGAAGAAGGAAAUUAUGUCAUUUGUUGGUAAAUGUCUGGAACUGGAGACUAUCAUGCUAAGUGAAACAAGCCAGUCCCCCAAAACUAAGGGCUGAAUGUUCUCUCUAUGUGGUUGGUAACCCACAAUAAGUGGGGUGGGGUGGGAAGGAGAAGAAUAGAAGUCCAUUGGAUGAGACAAUGGGGAACAAAG